UACGGAGGGGGUUAGCGUUGUUCGGAAUUACUGGGCGUAAAGCGCACGUAGGCGGAUCAGAAAGUUGGGGGUGAAAUCCCGGGGCUCAACCCCCGGAACUGCCUCCAAAAACUUCUGGUCUGGAGUUCGAGAGAGGUGAGUGGAAUUCCGAGUGUAGAGGUGAAAUUCGUAGAUAUUCGGAGGAACACCAGUGGCGAAAGGCGGCUCACUGGCUCGAUACUGACGCUGAGGUGCGAAAAGUGUGGGGGAGCAAAACAGG
This 259-nucleotide ribosomal RNA is filed under the name uncultured bacterium. RNAcentral describes it as "partial 16S ribosomal RNA". It matches the Rfam family "Bacterial small subunit ribosomal RNA", at positions 524 to 776 of the family's 1533-position model. The record is from RNAcentral.